This 510-nucleotide ribosomal RNA is filed under the name uncultured bacterium. Its description in RNAcentral is "partial 16S ribosomal RNA". It matches the Rfam family "Bacterial small subunit ribosomal RNA", at positions 28 to 507 of the family's 1533-position model. The record is from RNAcentral.
GACGAACGCUGGCGGCGUGCUUAACACAUGCAAGUCGAACGAAGAGCGAUGGAAGCUUGCUUCUAUCAAUCUUAGUGGCGAACGGGUGAGUAACGCGUAAUCAACCUGCCCUUCAGAGGGGGACAACAGUUGGAAACGACUGCUAAUACCGCAUACGAUCUAAACUCGGCAUCGAGGAUAGAUGAAAGGUGGCCUCUACAUGUAAGCUAUCACUGAAGGAGGGGAUUGCGUCUGAUUAGCUAGUUGGAGGGGUAACGGCCCACCAAGGCGAUGAUCAGUAGCCGGUCUGAGAGGAUGAACGGCCACAUUGGGACUGAGACACGGCCCAGACUCCUACGGGAGGCAGCAGUGGGGAAUCUUCCGCAAUGGACGAAAGUCUGACGGAGCAACGCCGCGUGAGUGAUGACGGCCUUCGGGUUGUAAAGCUCGGUUAAUCGGGACGAAAGGCCUUCUUGCGAAUAGUGAGAAGGAUUGACGGUACCGGAAUAGAAAGCCACGGCUAACUACGUG